GGGUUGUGAGGUUAAGCGACUAAGCGUACACGGUGGAUGCCCUGGCAGUCAGAGGCGAUGAAGGACGUGCUAAUCUGCGAUAAGCGUCGGUAAGGUGAUAUGAACCGUUAUAACCGGCGAUUUCCGAAUGGGGAAACCCAGUGUGUUUCGACACACUAUCAUUAACUGAAUCCAUAGGUUAAUGAGGCGAACCGGGGGAACUGAAACAUCUAAGUACCCCGAGGAAAAGAAAUCAACCGAGAUUCCCCCAGUAGCGGCGAGCGAACGGGGAGGAGCCCAGAGCCUGAAUCAGUGUGUGUGUUAGUGGAAGCGUCUGGAAAGGCGCGCGAUACAGGGUGACAGCCCCGUACACAAAAAUGCACAUGCUGUGAGCUCGAUGAGUAGGGCGGGACACGUGGUAUCCUGUCUGAAUAUGGGGGGACCAUCCUCCAAGGCUAAAUACUCCUGACUGACCGAUAGUGAACCAGUACCGUGAGGGAAAGGCGAAAAGAACCCCGGCGAGGGGAGUGAAAAAGAACCUGAAACCGUGUACGUACAAGCAGUGGGAGCCUCUUUUAUGGGGUGACUGCGUACCUUUUGUAUAAUGGGUCAGCGACUUAUAUUCUGUAGCAAGGUUAACCGAAUAGGGGAGCCGAAGGGAAACCGAGUCUUAACUGGGCGUUAAGUUGCAGGGUAUAGACCCGAAACCCGGUGAUCUAGCCAUGGGCAGGUUGAAGGUUGGGUAACACUAACUGGAGGACCGAACCGACUAAUGUUGAAAAAUUAGCGGAUGACUUGUGGCUGGGGGUGAAAGGCCAAUCAAACCGGGAGAUAGCUGGUUCUCCCCGAAAGCUAUUUAGGUAGCGCCUCGUGAAUUCAUCUCCGGGGGUAGAGCACUGUUUCGGCAAGGGGGUCAUCCCGACUUACCAACCCGAUGCAAACUGCGAAUACCGGAGAAUGUUAUCACGGGAGACACACGGCGGGUGCUAACGUCCGUCGUGAAGAGGGAAACAACCCAGACCGCCAGCUAAGGUCCCAAAGUCAUGGUUAAGUGGGAAACGAUGUGGGAAGGCCCAGACAGCCAGGAUGUUGGCUUAGAAGCAGCCAUCAUUUAAAGAAAGCGUAAUAGCUCACUGGUCGAGUCGGCCUGCGCGGAAGAUGUAACGGGGCUAAACCAUGCACCGAAGCUGCGGCAGCGACACUGUGUGUUGUUGGGUAGGGGAGCGUUCUGUAAGCCUGUGAAGGUGUACUGUGAGGUAUGCUGGAGGUAUCAGAAGUGCGAAUGCUGACAUAAGUAACGAUAAAGCGGGUGAAAAGCCCGCUCGCCGGAAGACCAAGGGUUCCUGUCCAACGUUAAUCGGGGCAGGGUGAGUCGACCCCUAAGGCGAGGCCGAAAGGCGUAGUCGAUGGGAAACAGGUUAAUAUUCCUGUACUUGGUGUUACUGCGAAGGGGGGACGGAGAAGGCUAUGUUGGCCGGGCGACGGUUGUCCCGGUUUAAGCGUGUAGGCUGGUUUUCCAGGCAAAUCCGGAAAAUCAAGGCUGAGGCGUGAUGACGAGGCACUACGGUGCUGAAGCAACAAAUGCCCUGCUUCCAGGAAAAGCCUCUAAGCAUCAGGUAACAUCAAAUCGUACCCCAAACCGACACAGGUGGUCAGGUAGAGAAUACCAAGGCGCUUGAGAGAACUCGGGUGAAGGAACUAGGCAAAAUGGUGCCGUAACUUCGGGAGAAGGCACGCUGAUAUGUAGGUGAAGCGACUUGCUCGUGGAGCUGAAAUCAGUCGAAGAUACCAGCUGGCUGCAACUGUUUAUUAAAAACACAGCACUGUGCAAACACGAAAGUGGACGUAUACGGUGUGACGCCUGCCCGGUGCCGGAAGGUUAAUUGAUGGGGUUAGCGCAAGCGAAGCUCUUGAUCGAAGCCCCGGUAAACGGCGGCCGUAACUAUAACGGUCCUAAGGUAGCGAAAUUCCUUGUCGGGUAAGUUCCGACCUGCACGAAUGGCGUAAUGAUGGCCAGGCUGUCUCCACCCGAGACUCAGUGAAAUUGAACUCGCUGUGAAGAUGCAGUGUACCCGCGGCAAGACGGAAAGACCCCGUGAACCUUUACUAUAGCUUGACACUGAACAUUGAGCCUUGAUGUGUAGGAUAGGUGGGAGGCUUUGAAGUGUGGACGCCAGUCUGCAUGGAGCCGACCUUGAAAUACCACCCUUUAAUGUUUGAUGUUCUAACGUGGACCCGUGAUCCGGGUUGCGGACAGUGUCUGGUGGGUAGUUUGACUGGGGCGGUCUCCUCCUAAAGAGUAACGGAGGAGCACGAAGGUUGGCUAAUCCUGGUCGGACAUCAGGAGGUUAGUGCAAUGGCAUAAGCCAGCUUGACUGCGAGCGUGACGGCGCGAGCAGGUGCGAAAGCAGGUCAUAGUGAUCCGGUGGUUCUGAAUGGAAGGGCCAUCGCUCAACGGAUAAAAGGUACUCCGGGGAUAACAGGCUGAUACCGCCCAAGAGUUCAUAUCGACGGCGGUGUUUGGCACCUCGAUGUCGGCUCAUCACAUCCUGGGGCUGAAGUAGGUCCCAAGGGUAUGGCUGUUCGCCAUUUAAAGUGGUACGCGAGCUGGGUUUAGAACGUCGUGAGACAGUUCGGUCCCUAUCUGCCGUGGGCGCUGGAGAACUGAGGGGGGCUGCUCCUAGUACGAGAGGACCGGAGUGGACGCAUCACUGGUGUUCGGGUUGUCAUGCCAAUGGCACUGCCCGGUAGCUAAAUGCGGAAGAGAUAAGUGCUGAAAGCAUCUAAGCACGAAACUUGCCCCGAGAUGAGUUCUCCCUGACUCCUUGAGAGUCCUGAAGGAACGUUGAAGACGACGACGUUGAUAGGCCGGGUGUGUAAGCGCAGCGAUGCGUUGAGCUAACCGGUACUAAUGAACCGUGAGGCUUAACCUUACAACGCCGAAGCUGUU
Molecule: ribosomal RNA, 2929 nt
Filed under: Escherichia coli
Lineage: Bacteria; Pseudomonadati; Pseudomonadota; Gammaproteobacteria; Enterobacterales; Enterobacteriaceae
Description: bacterial LSU rRNA
Rfam family: Bacterial large subunit ribosomal RNA
Source: RNAcentral